This 513-nucleotide ribosomal RNA is filed under the name uncultured bacterium. Its description in RNAcentral is "partial 16S ribosomal RNA". It matches the Rfam family "Bacterial small subunit ribosomal RNA", at positions 28 to 523 of the family's 1533-position model. The record is from RNAcentral.
GACGAACGCUGGCGGCAUGCCUAAUACAUGCAAGUCGAGCGAACAGAUGAAGUGCUUGCACUUCUGACGUUAGCGGCGAACGGGUGAGUAACACGUAAGGAAUCUACCUAUAAGCGGGGGAUAACAUUCGGAAACGGGUGCUAAUACCGCAUAAUAUCUUCUUCCGCAUGGAAGAAGAUUGAAAGACGGCUCUGCUGUCACUUAUAGAUGACCUUGCGGUGCAUUAGUUAGUUGGUGGGGUAACGGCCUACCAAGACGAUGAUGCAUAGCCGAGCUGAGAGGGUGAUCGGCCACAUUGGGACUGAGACACGGCCCAAACUCCUACGGGAGGCAGCAGUAGGGAAUCUUCCGCAAUGGGCGAGAGCCUGACGGAGCAAUGCCGCGUGAGUGAAGAAGGCCUUCGGGUCGUAAAACUCUGUUAUAAGAGAAGAACAAAUUGUAGAGUAACUGCCACAGUCUUGACGGUAUCUUAUCAGAAAGCCACGGCUAACUACGUGCCAGCCGCCGCCGUAA